RNAcentral lists this ribosomal RNA (615 nucleotides) under uncultured bacterium. RNAcentral describes it as "bacterial SSU rRNA". The stretch from base 1 to 517 matches the Rfam family "Bacterial small subunit ribosomal RNA", at positions 338 to 873 of the family's 1533-position model. The record is from RNAcentral.
CCUACGGGAGGCAGCAGUGGGGAAUAUUGGACAAUGGGCGCAAGCCUGAUCCAGCAAUGCCGCGUGAGUGAUGAAGGCCUUAGGGUCGUAAAGCUCUUUUACCAGGGAUGAUAAUGACAGUACCUGGAGAAUAAGCUCCGGCUAACUCCGUGCCAGCAGCCGCGGUAAUACGGAGGGAGCUAGCGUUGUUCGGAAUUACUGGGCGUAAAGCGUACGUAGGCGGUUAUUCAAGUCAGAGGUGAAAGCCCGGGGCUCAACCCCGGAACGGCCUUUGAAACUAGGUAGCUAGAAUCUUGGAGAGGUCAGUGGAAUUCCGAGUGUAGAGGUGAAAUUCGUAGAUAUUCGGAAGAACACCAGUGGCGAAGGCGACUGACUGGACAAGUAUUGACGCUGAGGUACGAAAGCGUGGGGAGCAAACAGGAUUAGAUACCCUGGUAGUCCACGCCGUAAACGAUGAUAACUAGAUGUCGGCGACUGUGCGUCGGUGGCGCGAGCUACGACAUUAAGUUAUACCGUCCGUCGGGAGGUACGGUCGCGAGAAGUAAACGUUAAAGUUAAGUAAGUUAGACGGUAACGUGUAGAGUUGUACCGAACGGACGACGACGAGGGAGGAGG